Molecule: non-coding RNA, 370 nt
Organism: Manis javanica (Malayan pangolin)
Lineage: Eukaryota; Metazoa; Chordata; Mammalia; Pholidota; Manidae
Source: RefSeq, a predicted model, not a curated record
CCGGGUCCACAGCACCUCGUGACGGCUGCCAUGGUCUUUUAAAUGACCUCUGUUCCCUACAAGGCAGCCGGCAUCUCCUCCUUGACAGUGAGAGGGAGAGAGAGGAACAGCAGUCAGCCAGCACCAUCUGGGAAUAAUGAAGAGGGACUGGAAAUUCUUGCUAUGUACCCAGCCUGACAUGAUGCUGAAAACAAGAGAAAAAUGAUAAAAAGAAAAAGGGGAGAGGGGAUAAGAAUCCAUAUGCCCGAGGACUCAACCUAUCUUCAAUCUGUUUUAAAGUUACAACAUCAAGUGUUCAUUCCUUAACAAUCAUGAGUUUCAGGAGGUAUGGUGCAAAAAAUGGGACCUGCAGGUUUUAAGAACAAGUCCU